UUCAGUGCUCACUUCAUUAGAAAUACGCUAAGAUUGGAAAGUACAGAGAAGAUUUGCACGGCCUUUGUGCAAGGAUGACAUGCAACUUCGUGAAUCGUUCCAUGUUUUU
Small nuclear RNA from Otolemur garnettii (small-eared galago), 109 nucleotides. Lineage: Eukaryota; Metazoa; Chordata; Mammalia; Primates; Galagidae. The record is from Ensembl.